This 253-nucleotide ribosomal RNA is filed under the name uncultured bacterium. RNAcentral's name for it is "partial 16S ribosomal RNA". It matches the Rfam family "Bacterial small subunit ribosomal RNA", at positions 524 to 776 of the family's 1533-position model. The record is from RNAcentral.
UACAGAGGGUGCGAGCGUUAAUCGGAAUUACUGGGCGUAAAGCGCACGUAGGCGGCUUGGUAUGUCGGGUGUGAAAUCCCCAGGCUCAACCUGGGAACUGCGUCUGAUACUGGAUGGCUUGAAUUCGGGAGAGGGAUGCAGAAUUCCAGGUGUAGCGGUGAAAUGCGUAGAUAUCUGGAGGAAUACCGGUGGCGAAGGCGGCAUCCUGGACCGACAUUGACGCUGAUGAGCGAAAGCUAGGGGAGCAAACGGG